Molecule: long non-coding RNA, 304 nt
Organism: Cyanistes caeruleus (blue tit)
Lineage: Eukaryota; Metazoa; Chordata; Aves; Passeriformes; Paridae
Source: RefSeq, a predicted model, not a curated record
UCUCAGCUGAAAAGGUGCCACCUGCUUGCCUCUACAAGUGUGCUGGGACCUGGUGUCCUGAGCAUGGGGACAGCUGGAACCGUUCGCUGCAUCACAUGGCAGCUCUUGCAAGAGCAUCAACCCCAUGGAGAGGCUCAUAAGAUGAAAGCCAAAGAAGACAGGAUUGUGUGGCCAUUGAAAACCCUGGAGUGUUUACAUCAGAGGCUUCACGUUUUCCUUUGGAUCUUGUGAUUAACUUGUGAUUAUAAAUGACCCAAGUAAGACAAACCAGGCAGCUAUGCAGCAGCUGAGGCAUGUACAGGAG